This is a long non-coding RNA of Hemicordylus capensis (graceful crag lizard), 261 nucleotides long. RefSeq lists it as uncharacterized. The transcript has 2 exons. Lineage: Eukaryota; Metazoa; Chordata; Lepidosauria; Squamata; Cordylidae. The record is from RefSeq and is a predicted model, not a curated record.
CUAGUGAUGUCAUAACUGCCACAUGCGGGGGGUGGGGGGCAAAGUGUCAUCCUUCAGCACUGGGGAGAGAUGUAGCUGGUGGACACCUACUGCAUCUACACUACAAACAUGGAAUGAAGGUUAUCACCUACGAUGAGAAUGCAUCCACUAUGAUUGGCUGUCAGAUUCAGAGAGCGUAAAAAGUGAAGUAAGCAGCACCUGACAAAGUUGGACAUCAAUUCCCAUUGUCAAUGGAGAGGAAGAAUUAAAUUGAUUGCCUUA